Molecule: long non-coding RNA, 656 nt
Organism: Zingiber officinale
Lineage: Eukaryota; Viridiplantae; Streptophyta; Magnoliopsida; Zingiberales; Zingiberaceae
Exons: 3
Source: RefSeq, a predicted model, not a curated record
GGUAUUUUUACCAAGGAGAAUAAGUUUUAAAAAUAAACUAAAAAAAAAAGGGUUGUAGAAGCUGGGUUUCGAACCCAGCACCCCGGACCUAAGCAAAACCGACCCAACCAACCAAGCUGCGCUCGAUUUGUUAAUCAAAUAUGGAGCGAUAUAUAUUUAAGUAGUAGUUAGGAAUAGUAAAAUAAAUUGGAAAUAAAAGUGCGCGGCUGAGGAAUCGAAGCCAAGAUCUCUGACUUGGUUAAAAUCUGGCUAACCAAGUGUGCUGCGGGCGGUUUUGUUUAAGAAUAGAUAGUAAAAUUAUUUAAAGAAGUUAACCGAAUAUUGAGUUAUAAGAGAGAACUUAGGGAUUAAUUUUUCCCGAGACCUAAUUUUCUUCCCCCUCCCUUAUCUCGCGCGGCGUCGUCCUCUGCUCGGGCGGAAGACGAAGAGAAGCUAGGGCUUCUUUCGACGGCCGACCAAGGUUCUCCAAGGGAUUUUCUUCACUAUCACAAUCCCCUCGUCGAGGAGAUUUCGUGGACACGAAGAGGAGCCGAGAUCUUCACUUCUCCGGAAACUCUAGUGCCUUCCCCUUCGGCUGUGAGUCCAAGAAACCGCUAUACAGGAAAGGAAAAGAUAUAGAAAGGAAGGCGACAAGGAGGUGUUCGAAGGAUGUGUGA